GAGGAAGGCGGGGGGCGUGCCUAAUACAUGCAAGUCGAGCGAACGGACGAGAAGCUUGCUUCUCUGAUGUUAGCGGCGGACGGGUGAGUAACACGUGGAUAACCUACCUAUAAGACUGGGAUAACUUCGGGAAACCGGAGCUAAUACCGGAUAAUAUUUUGAACCGCAUGGUUCAAAAGUGAAAGACGGUCUUGCUGUCACUUAUAGAUGGAUCCGCGCUGCAUUAGCUAGUUGGUAAGGUAACGGCUUACCAAGGCAACGAUGCAUAGCCGACCUGAGAGGGUGAUCGGCCACACUGGAACUGAGACACGGUCCAGACUCCUACGGGAGGCAGCAGUAGGGAAUCUUCCGCAAUGGGCGAAAGCCUGACGGAGCAACGCCGCGUGAGUGAUGAAGGUCUUCGGAUCGUAAAACUCUGUUAUUAGGGAAGAACAUAUGUGUAAGUAACUGUGCACAUCUUGACGGUACCUAAUCAGAAAGCCACGGCUAACUACGUG
RNAcentral lists this ribosomal RNA (497 nucleotides) under uncultured bacterium. RNAcentral's name for it is "partial 16S ribosomal RNA". It matches the Rfam family "Bacterial small subunit ribosomal RNA", at positions 28 to 507 of the family's 1533-position model. The record is from RNAcentral.